GAGUACUAGUCUUCAGCUGAAGAGUUCAGGGACAGCUAGAGGCCCAGUGUUCAAACCCCACAACUGACAACAACAACAAAAAAAUCAUUCCAAUUUGGGGUUGGGGUAGGACUCGGUGGCAGAAGUGGUCCUGGGUUCAAUGUGGAGGCCCUGGCUCCAGCACCAACGAAAGAAAAAAAAAAAAAGGUAGUUGUAGGCGUGUUAGGGAAAAGCCCCUUGGCUGAAGGAGGAAUAGCACCAAGAAAACGGGCUGGGACUGCUCAGUGCUCAUGCGCAGGGCUCGUGAAGCAGCCUCAGGCCUCAGCCUCUGCUCUUGCUGUGGAAGUGAGGUAGGCAAGAUGGCUGUCACCUGGGCACUGCUCCUGCUUGGAAAAGGCCGAGAGGAGUGGGGGACAAUGUGAUACAGAAAAGUGGGCCUGAAGUGGCAGACUGAAGAGCAACACCAGGGAACAUUCUGUGAGUCACUGUGAGCCACUCAAGGCCACUGGUGCAGGCAGGUGUCUGUAGUGACCAAGGCUUUAAAAGGAAACCCAGAGCCAGGAUAAUCUUUCUCUCUGUCCCUCUGUCCCUCUGUCCCCCACCCCCACCCCCACCCCCCC
This is a long non-coding RNA of Perognathus longimembris pacificus (Pacific pocket mouse), 599 nucleotides long. RefSeq lists it as uncharacterized. The record is from RefSeq and is a predicted model, not a curated record. Lineage: Eukaryota; Metazoa; Chordata; Mammalia; Rodentia; Heteromyidae. The transcript is spliced from 3 exons.